CCUACGGGAUGCAGCAGUGAGGAAUAUUGGUCAAUGGGCGCAACCCUGAACCAGCCAAGUAGCGUGCAGGAUGACUGCCCUAUGGGUUGUAAACUUCUUUUAUGAAGGAAUAAACUGAGGCACGUGUGCCUUUUUGUAUGUAUUUUAUGAAUAAGGAUCGGCUAAUUCCGUGCCAGCAGCCGCGGUAAUACGGAGGGUCCGGGCGUUAUCCGGAUUUAUUGGGUUUAAAGGGAGCGCAGAUGGGUUGUUAAGUCAGUUGUGAAAGUUUGCGGCUCAACCGUAAAACUGCAAUGGAUACUGGGAGGCUUGAGUGCGGUUGAGGUAGGCGGAAUUCGUGGUGUAGCGGUGAAAUGCUUAGAUAUCACGAAGAACUCCGAUUGCGAAGGCAGCCUACUAAACUGUUACUGACAUUGAGGCUCGAAGGUGUGGGUAUCAAACAGGAUUAGAUACCCUUGUAGUC
This 460-nucleotide ribosomal RNA is filed under the name uncultured bacterium. RNAcentral's name for it is "partial 16S ribosomal RNA". It matches the Rfam family "Bacterial small subunit ribosomal RNA", at positions 338 to 795 of the family's 1533-position model. The record is from RNAcentral.